AGAGUUUGAUCCUGGCUCAGAUUGAACGCUGGCGGCAUGCCUUACACAUGCAAGUCGAACGGCAGCGCGGGGGCAACCCUGGCGGCGAGUGGCGAACGGGUGAGUAAUACAUCGGAACGUGUCCUGGAGCGGGGGAUAGCUCGGCGAAAGCCGGAUUAAUACCGCAUACGCUCUGUGGAGGAAAGCGGGGGAUCUUCGGACCUCGCGCUCAAGGGGCGGCCGAUGGCGGAUUAGCUAGUUGGUGGGGUAAAGGCCUACCAAGGCGACGAUCCGUAGCUGGUCUGAGAGGACGACCAGCCACACUGGGACUGAGACACGGCCCAGACUCCUACGGGAGGCAGCAGUGGGGAAUUUUGGACAAUGGGGGAAACCCUGAUCCAGCAAUGCCGCGUGUGUGAAGAAGGCCUUCGGGUUGUAAAGCACUUUUGUUCGGGAAGAAAUCCUUCGGGCUAAUACCUUGAGGGGAUGACGGUACCGGAAGAAUAAGCACCGGCUAACUACGUGCCAGCAGCCGCGGUAAUACGUAGGGUGCGAGCGUUAAUCGGAAUUACUGGGCGUAAAGCGUGCGCAGGCGGUUCGCUAAGACCGAUGUGAAAUCCCCGGGCUUAACCUGGGAACUGCAUUGGUGACUGGCGGGCUAGAGUAUGGCAGAGGGGGGUAGAAUUCCACGUGUAGCAGUGAAAUGCGUAGAGAUGUGGAGGAAUACCGAUGGCGAAGGCAGCCCCCUGGGCCAAUACUGACGCUCAUGCACGAAAGCGUGGGGAGCAAACAGGAUUAGAUACCCUAGUAGUCC
RNAcentral lists this ribosomal RNA (793 nucleotides) under uncultured bacterium. RNAcentral describes it as "bacterial SSU rRNA". It matches the Rfam family "Bacterial small subunit ribosomal RNA", at positions 8 to 796 of the family's 1533-position model. The record is from RNAcentral.